UAAGCGGUGAAGCGGCAACAGCUCAAAUUUGAAAGCUGCUCGGGUCCGCUUUAAUUUGUAGGGAUGCUUGGGGCACCGCCUGUCUAAGUUCCUUGGAACAGGACGUCAUAGAGGGUGAGAAUCCCGUAUGUGACAGGACAUGGCACCCUAUGUAAAGCUCCUUCGACGAGUCGAGUUGUUUGGGAAUGCAGCUCUAAAUGGGAGGUAAAUUUCUUCUAAAGCUAAAUACCGGCGAGAGACCGAUAGCGCACAAGUAGAGUGAUCGAAAGAUGAAAAGCACUUUGGAAAGAGAGUUAAAAAGCACGUGAAAUUGUUGAAAGGGAAGCGCUUGCAAUCAGACUUGUUUUGACUGUUCGGCCGGUCUUCUGACCGGUUUACUCAGUCUGGACAGGCCAGCAUCAGUUUUGGCGGCCGGAUAAAGGCCUAGGGAAUGUGGCUCCCGCUUCGGUGGGAGUGUUAUAGCCCUGGGUGUAAUACGGCCAGCCGGGACUGAGGUCCGCGCUUCGGCUAGGAUGCUGGCGUAAUGGUUGUAAGCGACCCGUCUUGAAACACGGACCAAGGAGUCUAACAUCUAUGCGAGUGUUCGGGUGUCAAACCCCUGCGCGUAAUGAAAGUGAACGGAGGUGGGAACCGCAAGGUGCACCAUCGACCGAUCCUGAUGUCUUCGGAUGGAUUUGAGUAAGAGCAUAGCUGUUGGGACCCGAAAGAUGGUGAACUAUGCCUGAGGGUGAAGCCAGAGGAAACUCUGGGAGGCUCGCAGCGGUCUGACGUGCAAUCGAUCGUCAAAUUUGGUAUGGGGCGAAAUA
Molecule: ribosomal RNA, 806 nt
Filed under: Aureobasidium sp. BJ-2021b
Lineage: Eukaryota; Fungi; Ascomycota; Dothideomycetes; Dothideales; Saccotheciaceae
Description: partial large subunit ribosomal RNA
Rfam family: Eukaryotic large subunit ribosomal RNA
Source: RNAcentral